AAGGAAGGACCUCCCUGGGGCAGAGGCUGAGAGGAAGAGCCUCCCCGGGGCAGAGGUGUGACAGCUGAGCCAGAGCCAGGGGGCAGGGGAAGGUUGGGGGGUCCCUCGGCGUGUUUGUCAGCCCUGACCUCAGUGUGGGAGAACUGUGUGUGGCUCCCACACCAGAAAGGAGAGAGACACCGGGCCAGCUGCUCCUUUGAGAAUCUGCUGCAUAUGGAGGAGCAUGAUUUUUGGAAUGAGCAUAUGGUUUUGGAACCCAAAAAUGUGUGCUGCGAUCCUGAUACCCUUAUUGCGGACACAAAAUAAAGUGAGAGAAGAUGGAUCGCGC
RNAcentral lists this long non-coding RNA (328 nucleotides) under Homo sapiens (human). Its description in RNAcentral is "HSALNT0137651". Lineage: Eukaryota; Metazoa; Chordata; Mammalia; Primates; Hominidae. The record is from RNAcentral.